UNCAGAUCAGCUGCUUCCAAUUUACCUCUU
RNAcentral lists this non-coding RNA (30 nucleotides) under Mus musculus (house mouse). The record is from RNAcentral. Lineage: Eukaryota; Metazoa; Chordata; Mammalia; Rodentia; Muridae.